UUAAUUGCAGGAUUCAAGAAAAUAAGAGGUUUAAAUAAAUAAAACCAAAAUAGUAAUUCAAACCAUAAUUCUACUAGUGUGUAUGCCAGGACCUAAUGUCACAAGUGUAUGUGCAUCUAAUAAAUUAUACAAACUUCUAAAUACCGUCUGAACAUAGAAUAGACAGAAUACAAAUAGAAAGAGAGACACUAGGUGUUGCGGAACGGCUCAGGAAAGACAGCUCACCACUAAGCCUCGGGAUAACGGAGAUGCACACCGGUAGGACCACUUGAUACACCUGUCUCAGAUCCUGCACAAAAAGUGCAGCAAGUGUAGCAUGAGUACGUAAACAACGUGUACCCAGUAAGUAUCAAGUUUAAUCUCGAAGAAGUAGUGACGAGAGGUCGACUUCAACACUCACUAUGUGUCAAUAAUAUUAAGAUGGAAAUAUUUAAAUAGACACAAUUUAUGUGAAUAAUAACAAGUUCUUUAGCAAGCAAAAAUAAAUAAUUUUUUCCCAAUUAAAUAAUUUUUAAUAAGUUAUUUAUCUUCACAAGCUGCAAUAAAUAUCAAAGAAUCGUGAAAUUUUUAUUAUUAAGCACGAUUUAUGCCGAGGUCAUACGACCCAAUCCGGAAUAGUGUAUACACUGCCGAGGGUCAAACGGCACGAACCAUAGAUGCAUAUAUCUACUGCCAAGGCGUUCGGCCCGCUCCGCAAGAAGAGAAGGAUAUUUUAUAAGCGUUUGACUGAAAUAUCAAUGUCAUUUUAUACAAAAAUAAUACGAAUUUCAUUAGCAGUCUUUCACAAUUUCUCUAACAAAUACUAAUAAAAUUUAGGCAUUUUUAAAUUAACAAGUAUGUGCAAAAUUCCAAAUAAUUGAUAAUUUAGUCCUAAAACUACCCGAACAAUAGCAUAAUAGUAGCUACGCACGGACUCUCAUCAACUCGUACGUACGUAGCUGUCACACCCCUUUUUUUUCACCACCUCAACCCUCUUUAAAAUGAUAAAGGUGAUUUUAAAGCUCAAAAGGGUUUCAAUUUGAAAAGUGACAAAAGUUGUGUUUUAAAAGAUUUUUUAGAAUCGCCACCUGACAUUUGGUUUCGGUGUGCCAGGUCACCAUUUUUAAGAAAUAAUUUUUUUUCCUUUAAAACACAUUUAGACUCCACAACUAGUUUGCACUAGAGAUUCUAAGUAAGGGGGUUCAUUUGACUCGGGGAGAAGGUGUUAGGCAUUCCCCGAGUCCGAUAACUAGUACGACUGCACACUUGAUCAAAUCGGCUUUAAAGAGUAUUCAAACUGAGGCAAAACACAUCAAAGAAAAAUAAACACGCAAGAGGCUCGAGGAUGUCCCCACCUAAAUAAAAUAAAAUAAAAUAAGAGAAAAAUACUAAAAGUUUAUACUAUGCUCAUCCACGAAGUCUGUCACAACCUCCAAUCACUUUCACUAUGGGGCAUACCCCGGAUAAAAUAUAUAUAAGUUCUUCGAGGUAUUUUCCGGAUAAAUUUAACCAAGGGACAACCUCUAGCCUCGCAGAAUAAAUAAACGACCUAAUAUUUGCCUACCCACGUGUGGUCGGCCUAAACAUGCUACUAGCGAAUAAUAUCACAAAAUAAAUAAAUAAAUAAAAGGGAACCAAAUAAAAGGAAAAUUUUAAAUCAUGCUCAAAUUCUUUUGACUUUUAUUUUAUGUAUUUGACUAGGCUCAAUUCCUAAAACAUGUAAACCAUUUAAUCACUAAUGAGUUUCGUCUCCCCCCAUUCUCACUUGCGCCUCUUUAAUAAUGCAGCAUUUACAUGGAAUUUUCUUUACUUAUAAAAUAAUUGAUAUCAUGAGACAACUGUUUUUUUUUUUUUGAUAAGAGGGGAAACCCGCAGCCGCUACAAUUUCUGCCACGGCCUCUGCCCUUCGGGUGAGCACUCUGUGGUGAGCACUUUGUGCGCACUGGGUAAACCUCCCCUUGUGUAAUAGCCUGCAAACCACACAAUGGAUGUAAGCCGCACUAGGCAAGCCCUGUGCGGCAGGCUCAACCCAGAAGGCAUUGAGGGGUGGUUCGAUCCCAAGUCAUCCAUAUGGAUGACCACCCUCCAAACCAAUUGGGCAACCCCGAAGGGUAUGAGACAACUGUUCCUUAGCACAAAAGCACCAUUUUUUUUUUUCCAGUCAUGAACAUAUCAAAAGGAGAGAUUCAGCAUAUAUGCUUGAAGGCAAAUUUCAACUUUCAUCCACAAAGUAAAACGUAUUUUUUUGAAGAAAAUCAAACAUGGAAGUGACACCUACAUAGGACUGCAGAUGGUUCAUACAAGCAACUAAGUUAACUUUUAAGGUGAGAGUUCUAUUAUAUUCAAGCUUUACUAAUGAACACUGACAAAUUCUUAAUAAUAACAAUAACAACCCAGUAUAAUUUCAUUAGUGGGGUAUGAAGAUAGUAGUGUGUACGCAGACCUUACUCCUACCCUGGGGUAGAGAGGCCGUUUCCGAUAGACCCUCGGCUGCCUCCCUCUAAGAACUACUCACCUUGCUCUUGGGGUGACUCGAACUCACAACCUCUAGGUUGGAAGUGGAGGGUGCUUGACUCGAAAUCCUUAAUAACAGAGAUGAACAAAAACUAUCGCAGGCUAACAAAAUCAGGAGGAGCCAUGGCAAGUGGACAAUCUAAUAACUCAGAAUUCAUGCUAAAAUAUAGAUGCUCGAGCUAGGAUACCCCCCUCGUAAUCUCAACAAAUCAACGAGACGGAGGACAAAAUCAAAGCUCUCAGACAAGACCAACAAACAAACUGGAACAUCUACCCUUUCACAUACGGUUUCACGGCCAUAAAAUCACAGAACAUUACUCUAAUGCUAUUAAUAGGCUUGCAUUUAACAGAACUCAACUCGACUAAAGCUUAGCAGGGAUUCAUAAUAUGUUUCUUGAACAUUAAACGGGGCCAACAGAGGCGACGAGACACAGGGAACAUCUUCAGCAAAUAAAUUUCAGCAAAAGCGACUCGAAUAUACAUUUCGUUUCACACUCAAUUUCAACCAAACAUAUAAAACACUGAUUCAAACCGCAAGGGAAGUGCAUCACUGAUUCAUAAUUUACGCAACAGUCAGAUUUUAGUCAAAAACACGCGACAAGCAAAUUCACACUCAAAUAAUUUAAACACGGUCACUUGACUCAAGUCAUAACAACUUUCAACAAAAUAUUACUUCUAAGUUUACUCAGCUAUUGGAAUCAGAAAACAAAUUCAGAAACUAGUAUUUUUCUUUCAAUUAGACCAAAGGCUUGAACAACUUUUAAUCCAUUUAAACCCCCGGCUCUCAUCAUCAUUUAAUCACACCUUCAAAAUAAGAGAAAAAGAGUUGAACCUGAAUAAGAGUUUUUCGAUUACUUCUGUUCGGAAGCUAUUACAAGCAAAUCCGGCACCGGAAUUCGAAUGUCCAGCAGCAAACGAGCAAAACAGCAAUAAAAAUGGAUUCGGAACCACGAAUUUGAACCUCAUGAGCAGUCAACGGACCUCAGCUAAUCUCCAUGUUUUCGGAACCCAAAAAUCAGAGAGGAAACUUGAAAAUAGCUGUGUAUUUUCGAAUUUAGAAUCAAAUUGAAACUAAGAAGAAUUGAAAUCUUUUUUUUUUUCCUUUUAUCUAUGAAUGAACAAGAACCCAAAAUCAGAAAAAGGAAAAUUUCCAUCUCAAAAAACCCCCAAUACGGUAGUUCUUUGUCCCUAUUUUUAUCCAAAAUCCUUUUUUUGGAUUGUUUUAAAUAGUAGGAAUACAAUUGAUCAUAUCAGCUUCAGGAACUGUGACCAAAAUUAGG
RNAcentral lists this long non-coding RNA (3773 nucleotides) under Nicotiana tabacum (common tobacco). RNAcentral's name for it is "long non-coding RNA (NTAB_LNC017325)". The record is from RNAcentral. Lineage: Eukaryota; Viridiplantae; Streptophyta; Magnoliopsida; Solanales; Solanaceae.